Saccostrea echinata is the source of this 1021-nucleotide long non-coding RNA. RefSeq lists it as uncharacterized. The transcript is spliced from 2 exons. NCBI's taxonomy places the organism in Eukaryota, Metazoa, Mollusca, Bivalvia, Ostreida, Ostreidae. The record is from RefSeq and is a predicted model, not a curated record.
ACACACUUAUACAGGAUGUGCCAGAAGAUAUCGACAGAAGUCUGAAAAAAAAAACUUCUUGCGACUCUCUUUUCUUGAAAGUUCUGCUAAUGCCAAAAUUAAGUCAUAUGACGUAUUGUCAGUUUUCCAUUUUCGUGGAAUUGGACAUGUAAUCAGACGUAUUGUAAUAUGAAAGCUUCGGCCAAUGUAAAUGUAACCAUAUUCCUGGAAGACCUUGCGCCAGAUGACAGCAUAAAGAUCGAAAGACUUAGAGAAACUCAAGCCAUUCUGCAACAAAACAAAAUCAAUAAUGGAGAUCAACGUCUGAAGGUUGACGAGAAAAAAUCGAGCAGCAACCCCAGAGGAAUCAAAAGCUACACUCCUCUAAUCGUGGCUAUCACCUGCAUUAUCGUCUUCAUAGGCGUUGUUAUUUUUCUCUUUCAUGACUUUAUAUUAUGAGUUUGAAAUCUAAGGAGAGUAUUGACACGUAGGGAUCGUUAUACCCAUUAAAUUACUGAAGUUCACGCAGUGCUGUAUCCAUAAACCAAAAUGUAACGAGAUUAGAAGACGAUAUUAAUAACUCAACAUGAGUAGGUUAUGGAUUCUCUAUAAACCAAUAAAUGUUUUGGACAUUUAGAAAAAAAAUUUUAUACUCAGAUUAAUUAUUUUACUUUUAACAUAGGCUACCAGUUAUUUACUCGCAGGAAAAAAAUGUUAAAAGACAAUUAAGUAUUGAUUAGCAGAAAUCAAUGUUGCUUAUACUUAAAUGGGGGAAAUAAAUGCAUAAUUAUUAUAAUAAUUAUUAUAAAUCAAUUGAACUAUUGAUUUCUCUUAGCCUCAAGCUUGAAUUGAUUACAAAAUGAGUACCACGCUGUACAUUUCAUUUUAUUUUAUUGUAAAUCUAAGGGCAGUAUUUUUAAUUUGAAAAUUUAACAGAUGGUUAAUAUGUACCCUAAUCAAAAAUAUUAUAUGAAAUACUUGAUACGAAGACAUUGUUUUGCAUCGGAGUUUAACUGUAAUUAAAAUUAUAAAAAUCCAUUAA